This 1361-nucleotide long non-coding RNA is filed under the name Canis lupus familiaris (dog). Its description in RNAcentral is "lncRNA (ENSCAFG00000051558.1)". Lineage: Eukaryota; Metazoa; Chordata; Mammalia; Carnivora; Canidae. The record is from RNAcentral.
CCUCUCUUAAUUUGCAGAUGGCCACUAUAUCACUCCCCUAUCUCUGUGUCCUCACUAGACCUUUCUUCUGUGUGUGUGGACUUCUACUGUCUCUUUUCUUAUAAGGAUACUACUCCUAUUGGAUUAGGUCUUCACCCUCAUGAACUCAUUUAACCUUUAUUAUAUAUUUUUAAUUUUUUUUAGUAUGAAAUUAGUUUUUAUUUUUACCUCAAAAUAAAUGCAUAACAUUUUUCCAAAACUGAACUAAACGUGAACACUUAGAAGGGUGGAAGGAAUAGUCCCUCCACCCCUACUUCCCCCCACCCCCCAGGAAGCCAGUGAGUAAGGCAGACAUUGUGAUGCGCAGGGUUCUUCCUGCAGGACUAGUCUAGAACCCCCUUCCUCUCUUACUGUCAGUCGUCCCCACCAGGGUGCUGGCCGCAGGGGGACCCCACCCAUGCCCGACUCCCAGACCCAUACAAACAAGGGAUUUGAAAAGUGGGCAAACAUCGCUUAACACCUUCCCACGCUUUUCCUCCAGAGAAAAGGUCACUCUGCCCUACUGGAUUGAAGGACUUUUGAGAUGCAAAAUUCAAGAUUGGGAAGGAUGGAAAUAAAAGAAAAACUAAUUAACUGGAGUCAUUUAAAACAGAGGUGAUGGAGAGGAAGGGAAAGCAGUUGAGAAAAAGGGAAGAAAAUAUUGAAUAUAGUUUGUCUAUCUGUUGCAAAGUGCUGGGCAGAUUUAAUGAUACCCCGAAGCUAAGAAUUUGUUCCAAAGCCAGAGACAAUUUAUGGGCUGGCCUGUGGUCUAGGAAGUAAUCAGCUCAACAUAAUCAGAGUACUCUACGGGGAUGAGCAAAUACAACCCUUGACUGAGAACUAUUCUUAUGUGAGACUGGCAGAAUUUCAGGAGCUAACCAGGUGGGCGUAAGCACUUAUUUAUUGAGUAUGUUUUAUGUUCUAGGCACUAUUCCAGGCAGUGUGGCAAUAGACAAGAUAAGCUGUGGCUUUGCUCUCCUGGAGGUAACAUUGUAGCACAAAAGAUAGAUUCUAAAAAAGUAAGUAUGCUGAUUUCAACAUAACUUACAUAGUGAUAAGUGAUACCUAAAAAAUAAAACAGCUUGGGCGAGCAUGGGUGGCUCAGUUGGUUAAGCAUCUGACUUUAGCUCAGGUCAUGAUCUCAGAGUUCUGGGAUCCAGCCCUGCUCAGCUGCUUCUCCCUAUCCUUCUCCUUUUGCCCCUCACACGUAUACAUGAGAAAGUGUGCAAGAAUGUGUAUUGCGGUAUUGUUCAAAGUAUCUAAAUCUGUUAGCAACUGAGCUAUCCUUCUUUAGGGAAAUGAUUGGACAAAGAUAGAUAAAAAUCUCUUACAACAAAAUAAAG